GCUUUGAUGGUUAAACGGUGAUUAUGUUUGCCUUCCAGGUCCCCAUCCUAAAUAUUUAACUAGUAAGCGGUAGGGGUUCAACUCCCCUUCGGCAUA
Non-coding RNA from Desarmillaria ectypa, 96 nucleotides. Lineage: Eukaryota; Fungi; Basidiomycota; Agaricomycetes; Agaricales; Physalacriaceae. The record is from the annotation of a GenBank genome assembly.